GGAGAGGUGGCCGAGUGGCCGAAGGCGCUCCCCUGCUAAGGGAGUAACGAGUUUAUAGCUUGUUCGAGGGUUCGAAUCCCUCCUUCUCCGCCA
RNAcentral lists this transfer RNA (93 nucleotides) under Psychromonas marina. Its description in RNAcentral is "tRNA-Ser". It matches the Rfam family "tRNA". Rfam says of the family: Transfer RNA (tRNA) molecules are approximately 80 nucleotides in length. Their secondary structure includes four short double-helical elements and three loops (D, anti-codon, and T loops). Lineage: Bacteria; Pseudomonadati; Pseudomonadota; Gammaproteobacteria; Alteromonadales; Psychromonadaceae. The record is from RNAcentral. RNAcentral also lists the same sequence under 2 other names.